GAUGAACGCUGGCGGCGUGCCUAAUACAUGCAAGUAGAACGCUGAAGGAGGAGCUUGCUCUUCUGGAUGAGUUGCGCACGGGUGAGUAACGCGUAGGUAACCUGCCUGGUAGCGGGGGAUAACUAUUGGAAACGAUAGCUAAUACCGCAUGACAACAGUUAUUGCAUGAUAACUGUUUAAAAGGGGCAACUGCUCCACUACCAGAUGGACCUGCGUUGUAUUAGCUAGUUGGUGAGGUAACGGCUCACCAAGGCGACGAUACAUAGCCGACCUGAGAGGGUGAUCGGCCACACUGGGACUGAGACACGGCCCAGACUUCUAAGGGAGGGAGCAGUAGGGAAUCCUCGGCAAUGGACGGAAGUCUGACCGAGCAACGCCGCGUGAGUGAAGAAGGUUCUCGGAUCGGAAAGAUCUGUUGUAAGAGAAGAACGAGUGUGAGAGUGGAAAGUUCACACUGUGACGGUACCUUAUCAGAAAGGGACGGCUAACUACGUG
RNAcentral lists this ribosomal RNA (495 nucleotides) under uncultured bacterium. Its description in RNAcentral is "partial 16S ribosomal RNA". It matches the Rfam family "Bacterial small subunit ribosomal RNA", at positions 28 to 507 of the family's 1533-position model. The record is from RNAcentral.